Molecule: long non-coding RNA, 2204 nt
Organism: Vidua chalybeata
Lineage: Eukaryota; Metazoa; Chordata; Aves; Passeriformes; Viduidae
Exons: 6
Source: RefSeq, a predicted model, not a curated record
AGUUGUAAGGCACAACAAGCCCAAGUCAACCAACCACCAUGCACCACGAUGUGGACAUGAUGUGGCAGUCACACAGCAUGUCUCCCACAUGUCCCACGUCUCUCAUGUCUCUCUACCCCUAUUCCAACCAAGCAACUCUCCCAUAGUUCCCUUGUACUUAGCCUAAGUAACAGGCCAGAGCCAUGUUACAAGGCCUUUCCUUUAUAAAGCCUACCCUAUUGGUAACAUUUGCUCUCUGCCCAAGGAAGAGCUUUAUUUGCUGCAGAAGAUCCAAUGCUCUGUUGUCAAAACAGGUUUCUUCUUCACCUGCAGUUUAGUGCAUUAGCAAAGCAGAGUCUGCAAGGAUAAACCACUGGAUUUCCAGCAUGACUUUCCCCUGUUCCUAUAUCACUAAGGUAAAAUAUAUUUUAACCUUUGUUGGUUUUCUUUUUCCUUCUCAGCAAUCAACCAGCACCUGCACAAAUUUCAGAGAAAGCAAGACAACAAUUUAUCUGAAACUUUAUGAUUAUGCCUGACAUUAUGCUCUGCCUACAGACACCUGGAGCAGGUGACACAGGAGCAUGUCCAGGUGGGUUUGGAAUGUCUCCAGACAGGGAGGCUCCAGGCCCUCCCUGGGCAGCUGUUCCAGGGCUCUGCCACCCGAGUGUGCCGAAAAUCUUCCUCAUGCUGAGGUGGAACUUCUUGUGUUUAGUUUAUGUCCAUUGCUCCUCAUGCUGUCCCUGGGCACCACUGAACAGAUCCUGGCACCAUCUCCAAACCCAUAUUCAAGAUGCUUGCAUGUAUUGAUGAGAUUCUUUUUCAGUCUUCUCUGGUGCCAGUGGUGAAACUCCUGUGUCAGGAAGGGAGCCAGCACCAAGGCCUGACCCGUCAGGAAGCUGUUCAGUUGUGGCAGCUGCACUAUGGCAGCAGUUUAGGUCACGUGUGUCCUCUGUCCCCCAGAUUAGUUCCUUGGGAGGUCAGCCGAGCUCCAGAGCUUGUGGCACACAGACCUUGGCAGAUAGGCCGAGGCCUUUCCCUGCCUCCAGGCCGUGCUGGUCCUGAGGGCCUUCCUGAGGAGGAACCUUAUGAAAAUUUACCUGAGAGCAGCUGAAAAAGGCUAGUCUGACACCUUUUCCUGUGAAUGGGACACAGACAGGAUCCCCACAGUACCAGGAAGCACCCAACACUCUUACACUCUAUGUGAUGCCAGGCUUUGACCUUGGCAAAGGAGAAACUACUGAUAAGAGUGGCCAGAUAACAGAAACUAUGCCAGAGAACUGUGACAGAGUUUGAAUAAGAGAGCACUGUUUCUUGGAAACUGCUGGAAACACUCAAGUCCCCUUCCUUUGGGCUGAAACUCAGCAGAAAGACUGAGAGCCCUCUUGCUGGAGUGGCAGGAGCUGCUGGUUAAAACUGAGAGUGGAGCCCAGCCACCAGUCCCUCAUCGUGACUUCGAUGGAUAAUUAGUCAGGUUAUCUGAUAUAAUUACACAACAUUCAAGUGCAGGAGUGCAGGAAGAAGUGAUAAAAUCAAGAACAGCUUUAAUGAGGCCAGAAAAGGAAGAAAAAUGGAGUCAACUCAGGGGAACUUCAAGGUCCUUUUGGUGCUAUUCAAGCAAAUAAAUGGGAAUACUGCUAAAACAGAAGAAGCUGGGUGGAGUCAGAAGGUUGAUUUGGAACUAGCAGAGCAUUCAGUGGUUUCAGCAGGGAGCCUUAAAGUUAGAUGGUGUCAGGAACACACGGAGCUGGAUGUUCCCGUGGACUCCUGACUGCUCUUACCUCUCCACAUGGCAGGAAACAGAAGGUGAUGUUUCCAAAGGAACUGACGUACAACCUUGGAAGUCUGUCUCCUGGUUCUAUUGAGAUGAUAGCUAUGGAGUAAACCAAUCCUUCCCCUUCUUCCUCCUCUUGAUACUGUUUAUCCAAACAGAGCUUUAACUAUAUCUCCCUGUUUUAACUACAUCAUGAACUGAAAUGAAGGCACUUGCUAUACUGUGGCAAAUGAAGGUGAUCUGUGUGAUCUUCCAAUGCAGAGUGUUUUUCUCCAUUAAAUUUUUCCUGUUCCUGAGAUGAAUUUCAUUGUCUGAUAUUUUUUUUUUUAUUGCUACUCCUGUAUCUUACAAACCCUUAUUGAAAGGGUUUGAUGUUGGGCUUCCCUAGAUAAAGCACAGAGAAUCUGUGUUGGACAAAAUCACUGAAUUCAUUGUGCGUGAUCCUCUCUGAAGA